UAAUACCGCAUNCGACCUAAGGGAGAAAGCGGGGGAUCUUCGGACCUCGCGCUAUAGGGGCGGCCGAUGGCAGAUUAGCUAGUUGGUGGGGUAAAGGCCUACCAAGGCGACGAUCUGUAGCUGGUCUGAGAGGACGACCAGCCACACUGGGACUGAGACACGGCCCAGACUCCUACGGGAGGCAGCAGUGGGGAAUUUUGGACAAUGGGGGAAACCCUGAUCCAGCAAUGCCGCGUGUGUGAAGAAGGCCUUCGGGUUGUAAAGCACUUUUGUCCGGAAAGAAAACCUUCGAGCUAAUACCUUGAGGGGAUGACGGUACCGGAAGAAUAAGCACCAGCUAACUACGUGCCAGCAGCCGCGGUAAUACGUAGGGUGCGAGCGUUAAUCGGAAUUACUGGGCGUAAAGCGUGCGCAGGCGGUUUGUUAAGACAGAUGUGAAAUCCCCGGGCUUAACCUGGGAACUGCAUUUGUGACUG
RNAcentral lists this ribosomal RNA (476 nucleotides) under uncultured Burkholderia sp. RNAcentral's name for it is "bacterial SSU rRNA". It matches the Rfam family "Bacterial small subunit ribosomal RNA", at positions 164 to 635 of the family's 1533-position model. Lineage: Bacteria; Pseudomonadati; Pseudomonadota; Betaproteobacteria; Burkholderiales; Burkholderiaceae. The record is from RNAcentral.